UUUAUUUGUUUUUUUUUGGAAGGGGAUUGUUCUUGGAUGAGAGGGCGGCCGGGUGGGUUAAGGCGGGGGUACCCUCCCUUUUAUUGGGGGAUUACAAGUUGAAAAGGACUGUAAUUCCGGCAUUAGCGCCCCGUGUUGCAAGCCACGGGUGGAAAAAAUUCCGUUGUUUAGGAUUGACCCCGCGUCUGAUUAGCUAGUUGUUGGGUAACAGCCUACCAGGGCGACGAUCAGUAGCCGACCUGAGAGGGUGACCGCCCACAUUGGGACUGAGACACGGCCCAAACUCNUACGNGAGGCAGCAGUGGGGAAUAUUGCACAAUGGGGGAAACCCUGAUGCAGCGACGCCGCGUGAGCGAAGAAGUAUUUCGGUAUGUAAAGCUCUAUCAGCAGGGAAGAAUAAAUGACGGUACCUGACUAAGAAGCACCGGCUAAAUACGUGCCAGCAGCCGCGGUAAUACGUAUGGUGCAAGCGUUAUCCGGAUUUACUGGGUGUAAAGGGAGCGCAGGCGGUUCGGCAAGUCUGAUGUGAAAGCCCGGGGCUCAACCCCGGUACUGCAUUGGAAACUGUCGAACUAGAGUGUCGGAGGGGUAAGUGGAAUUCCUAGUGUAGCGGUGAAAUGCGUAGAUAUUAGGAGGAACACCAGUGGCGAAGGCGACUUACUGGACGAUAACUGACGCUGAGGCUCGAAAGCGUGGGGAGCAAACAGGAUUAGAUACCCUGGUAGUCCACGCUGUAAACGAUGAAUACUAGCUGUUGGGGAGCACUGCUCUUCAGUGGCGCAGCAAACGCA
This 791-nucleotide ribosomal RNA is filed under the name uncultured bacterium. RNAcentral describes it as "bacterial SSU rRNA". It matches the Rfam family "Bacterial small subunit ribosomal RNA", at positions 67 to 859 of the family's 1533-position model. The record is from RNAcentral.